RNAcentral lists this ribosomal RNA (717 nucleotides) under uncultured Lachnospiraceae bacterium. RNAcentral describes it as "bacterial SSU rRNA". It matches the Rfam family "Bacterial small subunit ribosomal RNA", at positions 45 to 776 of the family's 1533-position model. Lineage: Bacteria; Bacillati; Bacillota; Clostridia; Lachnospirales; Lachnospiraceae. The record is from RNAcentral.
CGCGUAACACAUGCAAGUCGAACGAGCGAGAGAGAGCUUGCUUUCUCAAGCGAGUGGCGAACGGGUGAGUAACGCGUGAGGAACCUGCCUCAAAGAGGGGGACAACAGUUGGAAACGACUGCUAAUACCGCAUAAGCCCACGACCCGGCAUCGGGUAGAGGGAAAAGGAGCAAUCCGCUUUGAGAUGGCCUCGCGUCCGAUUAGCUAGUUGGUGAGGUAACGGCCCACCAAGGCGACGAUCGGUAGCCGGACUGAGAGGUUGAACGGCCACAUUGGGACUGAGACACGGCCCAGACUCCUACGGGAGGCAGCAGUGGGGAAUAUUGCACAAUGGGGGAAACCCUGAUGCAGCGACGCCGCGUGGAGGAAGAAGGUCUUCGGAUUGUAAACUCCUGUUGUUGAGGAAGAUAAUGACGGUACUCAACAAGGAAGUGACGGCUAACUACGUGCCAGCAGCCGCGGUAAACGUAGGUCACAAGCGUUGUCCGGAAUUACUGGGUGUAAAGGGAGCGCAGGCGGGAAGACAAGUUGGAAGUGAAAUCCAUGGGCUCAACCCAUGAACUGCUUUCAAAACUGUUUUUCUUGAGUAGUGCAGAGGUAGGCGGAAUUCCCGGUGUAGCGGUGGAAUGCGUAGAUAUCGGGAGGAACACCAGUGGCGAAGGCGGCCUACUGGGCACCAACUGACGCUGAGGCUCGAAAGUGUGGGUAGCAAACAGG